RNAcentral lists this ribosomal RNA (253 nucleotides) under uncultured bacterium. RNAcentral's name for it is "partial 16S ribosomal RNA". It matches the Rfam family "Bacterial small subunit ribosomal RNA", at positions 524 to 776 of the family's 1533-position model. The record is from RNAcentral.
UACGGGGGGGGCAAGCGUUGUUCGGAAUUACUGGGCGUAAAGGGCUCGUAGGCGGCCAACUAAGUCAGACGUGAAAUCCCUCAGCUUAACUGGGGAACUGCGUCUGAUACUGGAUGGCUUGGAUUCGGGAGAGGAAUGCGGAAUUCCAGGUGUAGCGGUGAAAUGCGUAGAUAUCCUAAGGAACACCGGUGGCGAAAGCGGCUCACUGGAUCUCUUCUGACGCUGAGGCACGAAAGCUAGGGUAGCGAACGGG